GCAGCCGUGGCCGAGUGGUUAAGGCGUCUGACUAGAAGUCAGAUUCCCUCUGGGAGCGUCGGUUCAAGUCCUGGCGACUGCG
Ctenocephalides felis (cat flea) is the source of this 82-nucleotide non-coding RNA. Lineage: Eukaryota; Metazoa; Arthropoda; Insecta; Siphonaptera; Pulicidae. The record is from the annotation of a RefSeq genome assembly.